GCUCCCUGAACAACCCACUUUCCCUCAACUUCCCAUAACAUCCCGUUCUCGAUUUCCUUAUAUGGGAAUGAGUCGGAGAGAAGCUCAUCACCUGUGAGAAGAUCCUGAUAAACGAGCAUUAUUACAAAUUUUACACUUGCUCUGUAAAAUAACUUAAUUGGCUAAUUAACAAAAAAGAAACGCAAUUAAUCAAGAAAAAGAGGGGGGAAAAAAG
This 214-nucleotide unclassified non-coding RNA is filed under the name Hevea brasiliensis (rubber tree). The record is from RNAcentral. Lineage: Eukaryota; Viridiplantae; Streptophyta; Magnoliopsida; Malpighiales; Euphorbiaceae.